RNAcentral lists this ribosomal RNA (1461 nucleotides) under Trachelomonas volvocina. RNAcentral's name for it is "bacterial SSU rRNA". It matches the Rfam family "Bacterial small subunit ribosomal RNA". The record is from RNAcentral. Lineage: Eukaryota; Euglenozoa; Euglenophyceae; Euglenales; Euglenaceae.
AGAGUUUGAUCCUUGCUCAGGAUGAACGCUGGCGGCAUGCCUAACACAUGCAAGUUUAACGAUUUUAUGUUGAAUAUUAUAGUAACGGACGGGUGAGUAAUGUGUAAGAAUCUACGUUUGGGAAAGGGAUAACAGAUGGAAACGUUUGCUAAUACCUUAUUUUGCAGUCAUGUUAAAGUUUUAUCGCCCAGACACGAGCUUGCAUUUGAUUAGUUAGUUGGUGGGGUAAUAGCUUACCAAGACUGUGAUCAAUAGCUAAUUUGAGAGGACGAUUAGCCACACUGGGACUGAGACACGGAACAGACUUCUACGGAAGGCAGCAGUGGGGAGUAUUUCGCAAUGGGUGAAAGCCUGACGAAGCAAUGCCGCGUGGAGGAAGAAGGCUUUAGAGUUGUAAACUCCUUUUCUCAAUGAAGAAGAUAUGACGGUAUUUGAGGAAUAAGCAUCGGCCAAUUUCGUGCCAGCAGCCGCGGUAAUACGAGAGAUGCAAGCGUUAUCCGGAAUUAUUGGGCGUAAAGAGUUCGUAGGUUGUUAAGUGUGUUUAGUGUUAAAUGGUAAAGCUUAACUUUAUUUAGGCAUUAAAAACUACUUAACUUGAAUAUGGUAGAGGCAAAGGGAAUUCUCAGUGUAGCGGUGAAAUGCGUAGAUAUUGGGAAGAACACCGGUGGCGAAAGCGCUUUGCUAGGUUUAUUAUUGACACUGAGGAACGAAAGCUAAGGGAGCAAAUAAGAUUAGAUACCUUAGUAGUCUUAGCAGUAAAUGUUGGAUAUUAAGUGGUAUUUUUAGUACUGCUGUAGUUAACACGAUAAAUAUCCCGCCUGGGAAGUAUGCUUGCAAAAGUGAAACUCAAAGGAAUUGACGGGGGCCCGCACAAGCAGUGGAGCAUGUGGUUUAAUUCGAUGGUACACGAAAAAUCUUACCAAGGCUUGACAUGUCAGGAAAUUAUUGAAAGAUAAUGUGCCUUUUGGAACCUGAACACAGGUGGUGCAUGGCUGUCGUCAGCUCGUGUUGUGAAAUGUUGGGUUAAGUCCCGCAACGAGCGCAACCCUCGUCUUUAGUUGUUUAUUUUGUUUCUAAAGAUACUGCCGGUUAUAAAUCGGAGGAAGGUGGGGAUGAGGUCAAGUCAUCAUGCCCUUUAUGCCUUGGGCUACACACGUGCUACAAUGGUUAAGACAAUAAGUUGCGAGUCUGCGAAGAUUAGCUAAUCUUACAAACUUAAUCUAAGUUCGGAUUGUAGGCUGUAACUCGCCUACAUGAAGCUGGAAUUGCUAGUAAUCGCCAAUCAGAUAUGUGGCGGUGAAUACGUUCUCGGGCCUUGUACACACCGCCCGUCACACCAUGGAAGCUGGUUAUACCUGAAGAUAUUAUCCUAACAUUUGGGGGAGGUAUCUAAGGUCCAAUUAGUGACUGGGGUGAAGUCGUAACAAGGUAGCCGUACUGGAAGGUGUGGCUGGAAAAACU